RNAcentral lists this ribosomal RNA (254 nucleotides) under uncultured bacterium. RNAcentral's name for it is "partial 16S ribosomal RNA". It matches the Rfam family "Bacterial small subunit ribosomal RNA", at positions 524 to 776 of the family's 1533-position model. The record is from RNAcentral.
UACGAAGGGGGCUAGCGUUGUUCGGAAUUACUGGGCGUAAAGCGCGCGCAGGCGGUCUUCCAAGUCAGUGGUGAAAGCCUGGAGCUCAACUCCAGAACUGCCAUUGAAACUGUUAGACUUGAGUACGAGAGAGGUGAGUGGAAUUCCCAGUGUAGAGGUGAAAUUCGUAGAUAUUGGGAAGAACACCAGUGGCGAAGGCGGCUCACUGGCUCGUAACUGACGCUCAGGCGCGACAGCGUGGGGAUCGAAACAGG